This is a long non-coding RNA of Micropterus dolomieu (smallmouth bass), 1560 nucleotides long. RefSeq lists it as uncharacterized. Lineage: Eukaryota; Metazoa; Chordata; Actinopteri; Centrarchiformes; Centrarchidae. The transcript is spliced from 5 exons. The record is from RefSeq and is a predicted model, not a curated record.
GCGGGUCUUCAUUCCACAGAGUCAAAGUCUUCUUCAAAGAAUUCUUCCACAAAAAUUGACACACAAUUGAUUAAAGAGUCACAGUGUUCUUCAAAGAAUUCUUCUACAGAAAGUGUACACAGCGACACACCAUUGAUUAAAGGACGUCAAGGCAGUGACACCACUGAUUAAGAAGCGAGCGAGAGUUUGAAGAGGGUGAACUUCACUUCAUGAGAAAUCUUCAAAACUGACUACAGUAAAGUCACAAAUCAUUAAUUCAAACAUAAAUAAGAGGUUCACCACACCACUAAAAUUGAAAUAGCUUUGACCUUUUAUAAGGUCAAUAUUAUAAUAAAUAAAUAAUAAUAAUAAAAAAUAUAUUAUUUCAUACUUUUGUAUGGAAAAUGGAUCAAAAGACAAACUCACAGAGAAUUCACUCUGUUCGGUGAAUGAAACAUAUUGGGCAGAAAACUCAAACAAGGUUGACGCAGAACUUCAACACUAUGAACUACAUUCUCUUGAAUGUUAAAUGGCAAUGUUUCAUUCCACAGUGGAUCUUAAUGAUAAAUAAUCAAAAAAAUAUAUACAUAUUGAAUGUAAAUGAUCAAUUAAUUUAUAUUAGAGGAUGACAUUUUGGGGGGAAACCUGUGGGUCACGGGAUUCCUUUGGGAUGGGAGUCAAGCGGGUUUCAGGCAGGAACAUAGGGGACUUCAGACAUCCAGACUAUGAAAACUAUAUGUUCUAUUAAAGAUGAAAGUGAUUUCAUAAAAUAUAAAAAUACAUCAAUUGUGAUAAAACUAGAUUCACAUCACAGCCUUGUUGAUGCAACAUUUGUUCAAUUGAAAGUUGUACAUGCGGAAUAUACGGAAAAGUUUGUUCUCGCUGUUAUGUGAGUCAUAAAUCAGAUUUUUAUAUAUAUAUAAAUAUAAUAACAUGAGAAACUACUUUCAGACUUUGUUUUUAUCAGGAAUGGGAUGGGACUGGAGUGAAAAUCCAAUUCCAUCCCUCUCUACUUAAAAUACAAGAGGAGGUGUUCCCACUGUUGACAAAUGUGUCUGUAAAUAGGUAAAUGUAGAUCUGUCUAUAUAAAUAUUUUUUCAUAUUUCUUGUGUUAAUAUAUUACAUGAUGAUUUAACACAUUGGAGAUGCUCUCUCAUGUCUUUUUUUUGGGGGGGGGUUGAGUUAAAGAAAGAUGCACAAGAACAAAAAACAUCAGUAAGCUUGUCAUCACAUGAUUCAUUUUAUGGUUUGGGUGUUUAUGUGAUAUUCUUCUUCUGGAUGGUUUGAAGCUGGUAAAGUUUAUUUUACAAAUGCAAAUGUUCAUAUAGACACACAUAUCCACACACACUGGCAUGUGUCAGUUUAAGAUUUAUUUUGUAGAUGUGUAAACGCUCAAUCAAAUUUAAUUUUUAUGUAAAUGUUGGAUUUUUCUUGAAGUUGUUUUUUUGCAGUGUUUAAUGUGACUGUUUCUUAGAUUGAUAUUAUAUAGGUUGGUAAAAUAUGCGGGGUGGUUCUGUGACAUUAUUGAUCAUAUUAUUUGUACAUGGGUUUACAGAUCAAUAAAGCAUCCAAUAUAAAAUA